ACGAGAGACUCGGUGAAAUUAUAGUACCUGUGAAGAUGCAGGUUACCCGCGACAGGACGGAAAGACCCCGUGGAGCUUUACUGUAGCCUGAUAUUGAAUUUUGGUACAGCUUGUACAGGAUAGGUAGGAGCCUGAGAAACCGGAGCGCUAGCUUCGGUGGAGGCGUCGGUGGGAUACUACCCUGGCUGUAUUGAAAUUCUAACCCGCACCCCUUAUCGGGGUGGGAGACAGUGUCAGGUGGGCAGUUUGACUGGGGCGGU
RNAcentral lists this ribosomal RNA (260 nucleotides) under Bacillus sp. 7884-1. RNAcentral's name for it is "Bacterial large subunit ribosomal RNA". It matches the Rfam family "Bacterial large subunit ribosomal RNA", at positions 2024 to 2283 of the family's 2925-position model. The record is from Rfam by way of RNAcentral. Lineage: Bacteria; Bacillati; Bacillota; Bacilli; Caryophanales; Bacillaceae.